GCCUUUUUGAUUACUUUUGUGACUUUUGUGACUAUCUAAAGCCGGUCCUUUAGAUAGUGAGUUUUGGACGUGUCUAAUAGAUGGCGUGAAAGAAUAUUGUGUUGAUAUGUGCUUAUGGCGGCUCGUUGUCAACAGUUCAGCUACAGCUAUUUUCUUCGACAAUUACAAAGGAAUUCGAGAAUUUGUGUAAGGGGCAUGCAGCCUAGUGUCAACUAUUGUGUUAUAAAUCCUAGUAUCCUACUGAAUAUGUCAUCCGAUCACCAACCCUAGAAUGGACCAUUAUUCUCGCAUUCCAUCUUCUAGAGAACCUUGGGUAACUGAUUGGUGGUUUUGUGUGUCUCUAAUCUUGCACGCCAGCCUUUAUGAGAAGUCAUGUCCUGUGAAGAAAAGGGACAAUGACUUUACAGUCAUCAAGGUCAUUUAUUUGUUUGGUAACCCGUUGGCUGCUAGCCUGCUACCCUUGAACAUCCCUUUUUACUUCCUUAAACAGUCCCUCUUGAUUUGAGGGUAACUCCUUCGCCACUUAUCCAUGGGUGAAAACUGAAAAGAGAAAGCUGUAAUUCAGAUGUCUAAGCCGGAAGCCUACUAUGGUUAAUCGCUCUCGUAAUAACUGUUCCUCAACUCUUCGCUCUUUUUCCGGUUUCUCUUAACCAUUUGCCAGGUAGUCAAUUAAGACAGUGAUGUCUCCCCCUGUCUUGAUUGUGUGCGAGUUUCAAAAGCAGUUUAUCACCCAAAUGAGACAAAAGGAGUUGGUUAGGUUUGUUUUAUAUGGGUAUAAACUGCUUUAAAAUUUGCACAGACCAACAUUUGUCUUGUACCGGACGCUUUGUUUAUUAAAUUUCAAUCAU
Molecule: long non-coding RNA, 848 nt
Organism: Daphnia pulex (common water flea)
Lineage: Eukaryota; Metazoa; Arthropoda; Branchiopoda; Diplostraca; Daphniidae
Exons: 5
Source: RefSeq, a predicted model, not a curated record